This 1068-nucleotide long non-coding RNA is filed under the name Piliocolobus tephrosceles (Ugandan red Colobus). RNAcentral's name for it is "lncRNA (ENSPTEG00000003067.1)". Lineage: Eukaryota; Metazoa; Chordata; Mammalia; Primates; Cercopithecidae. The record is from RNAcentral.
UUUCUAUUUAACAACACAUUGUAUUAAAUGUAUAAUCUUAAAUGUUUGUAGUUUAAACAUAUCAUAUAAUUCACUUUUUUUUUUUUUUUUUUGCUGUUCGUAUUAAAGGAUUACAAAAGUUACAAAACAAUUUUAUGUGUAAAAAGAAAUAAUAUUAUUAAAUAUAUAAUUUUGACGUUAACUGAUACUAAUUUUUAUUUGUGGCUAGAAAAUGAACAGCACCCUUUUUAUGUUUCUCCAACGUAAGUUUUUAAAUAUACAUCAUAAAAACGCCUGGUGUAUACGUUUAAUACGAAAAUAAUAUAAAUGUAUAUUUUUGUUAACACAAUAUAGAGGUAUAUAUAUUCGUACACGUUUAUAUUUAGUAACUAUUUAAUGAUGAUUUUUUUUUUUUUUCUUUUUUUUUUUUUCUAUAUUUAAUUAUUAUUAUUAAAUUUAAUUUAAAUAAAUUUGUUCUAAUUGUUACAGAAGCAAUGAAUUAUAUUCUUGCUGUGAAUUUAGUCAAACUAGGAUAGGGGUUAUAUAUAUAGGGAAAAAAAAUGGACACAUAGAAAUAUGGAAUUUGUUGGAACAUAAAAGCCAUUGUAUAUACUCACUAUCCAUAAGUAGUUAUAGCUUAACAUGUAUAAGCAUUUCUAAUUAUUUUGAUAAUAAAUUAAGUAAUAAGAAUGAAAAAAAAAUUAAAAAUUUGGUAGAUGCUGAUAAACAUAAUGAUCUUGAAAAUUGGAAUGAAAUUGUAGACACCAACGAAGAGUUGAUAAACAAAGAUGAAGAUGAUGUUUAUAAAUAUUCUUAUAAUAAAAUAAUAAUUGGCGAUUCCAGUGGCUGCGUUUUUGUUUAUCAAAUUGAAGAAGAAUUUUUAAAUCUAGUAAUUUUUUUUUCUUUUUUGAUAUUAAUUUAUUAAAGGAGCAAAUUAAAAUAUAACCAAAUUAAUACAUACAUACAUGCAUAUACAUAUGUAUCCUAUGUUUACACAUAUUUAUCAUUUUAGAAUAAGGGAGAAAUUGAUAAAUUUUUAUUAUGGACCGAUAACAUGAUACGUGUAAAUAAACAAAUUAAAGAAAGGCA